Molecule: ribosomal RNA, 468 nt
Filed under: uncultured bacterium
Lineage: Bacteria
Description: partial 16S ribosomal RNA
Rfam family: Bacterial small subunit ribosomal RNA
Source: RNAcentral
GACGAACGCUGGCGGCGUGCUUAACACAUGCAAGUCGAACGGAAAGGCCCUGCUUUUGUGGGGUGCUCGAGUGGCGAACGGGUGAGUAACACGUGAGUAACCUGCCCUUGACUUUGGGAUAACUUCAGGAAACUGGGGCUAAUACCGGAUAGGAGCUCCUGCUGCAUGGUGGGGGUUGGAAAGUUUCGGCGGUUGGGGAUGGACUCGCGGCUUAUCAGCUUGUUGGUGGGGUAGUGGCUUACCAAGGCUUUGACGGGUAGCCGGCCUGAGAGGGUGAACGGCCACAUUGGGACUAAGAUACGGCCCAGACUCCUACGUGAGGCAGCAGUGGGGAAUAUUGCACAAUGGGCGGAAGCCUGAGGCAGCAACGUCGCGAGCGGGAUGACGGCCUUCGGGGUGGAAACCGCUUUCGCCUGUGACGAAGCGUGAGUGACGGUAAUGGGUAAAGAAGCACCGGCUAACUACGUG